This 1359-nucleotide ribosomal RNA is filed under the name metagenome. RNAcentral describes it as "bacterial LSU rRNA". It matches the Rfam family "Bacterial large subunit ribosomal RNA", at positions 1530 to 2881 of the family's 2925-position model. The record is from RNAcentral.
GCUUAGGCAAAUCCGGGCGCGGAAUUCAAGGGACUGGGACGAGGCAUUUAGGUGCUGAAGCAAUCGGAAGUGGUUCCAAGAAAAGCCUCUAAGCUUCAGUCAUACGAGACCGUACCGCAAACCGACACAGGUGGGCGAGAUGAGUAUUCUAAGGCGCUUGAGAGAACUCGGGAGAAGGAACUCGGCAAAUUGGUACCGUAACUUCGGGAAAAGGUACGCCCUUGUAGCUUGGCUGAUUUACUUCAGUAGGGCGAACGGGUUGCAAUAAACUGGUGGCUGCGACUGUUUAAUAAAAACACAGCACUCUGCAAACACGAAAGUGGACGUAUAGGGUGUGACGCCUGCCCGGUGCUGGAAGAUUAAAUGAUGGGGUGCAAGCUCUUGAUUGAAGUCCCAGUAAACGGCGGCCGUAACGAUAACGGUCCUAAGGUAGCGAAAUUCCUUGUCGGGUAAGUUCCGACCUGCACGAAUGGCGUAACGAUGGCCACACUGUCUCCUCCCGAGACUCAGCGAAGUUGAAGUGUUUGUGAUGAUGCAGUCUACCCGCGGCUAGACGGAGAGACCCCAUGAACCUUUACUGUAGCUUUGCAUUGGACUUUGAAUCAAUCUGUGUAGGAUAGGUGGGAGGCUUUGAAGCGGGGACGCCAGUUCCCGUGGAGCCAACCUUGAAAUACCACCCUGGUUCAUUUGAGGUUCUAACCUUGGCCCGUUAUCCGGGUCGGGGACAGUGCAUGGUAGGCAGUUUGACUGGGGCGGUCUCCUCCUAAAGUGUAACGGAGGAGUUCGAAGGUACGCUAGGUACGGUCGGACAUCGUGCUAAUAGUGCAAUGGCAUAAGCGUGCUUAACUGCGAGACUGACAAGUCGAGCAGGUACGAAAGUAGGACAUAGUGAUCCGGUGGUUCUGUAUGGAAGGGCCAUCGCUCAACGGAUAAAAGGUACUCUGGGGAUAACAGGCUGAUUCCUCCCAAGAGUUCAUAUCGACGGGGGAGUUUGGCACCUCGAUGUCGGCUCAUCACAUCCUGGGGCUGUAGCCGGUCCCAAGGGUAUGGCUGUUCGCCAUUUAAAGUGGUACGUGAGCUGGGUUUAAAACGUCGUGAGACAGUUUGGUCCCUAUCUGCCGUGGGCGUUGGAAAUUUGAAGGGGGCUGCUCCUAGUACGAGAGGACCGGAGUGGACAGACCUCUGGUGUACCAGUUGUCACGCCAGUGGCAUUGCCGGGUAGCUAAGUCUGGAAGAGAUAACCGCUGUAAGCAUCUAAGCGGGAAACUUGCCUUAAGAUGAGAUUUCCCAGAGCCUUGAGCUCUUUGAAGGGUCGUUCGAGACCAGGACGUUGAUAGGUCAGGUGUGGAAGUGAAAAAA